Molecule: ribosomal RNA, 522 nt
Filed under: uncultured bacterium
Lineage: Bacteria
Description: bacterial SSU rRNA
Rfam family: Bacterial small subunit ribosomal RNA
Source: RNAcentral
UCAGGACGAACGCUGGCGGCGUGCCUAAUACAUGCAAGUCGAACGGCUUUUCUAUGGAAGCUUGCUUCCACUGAGAAGAUAGUGGCGAACGGGUGAGUAACACGUGGGUAACCUGCCCAUAAGAGGGGGGAUAACAUCCGGAAACGGGUGCUAAUACCGCAUAGUUUUCUUGAUCGCAUGAUCGGGAAAGGAAAGACGGCCUUUGUGCUGUCGCUUAUGGAUGGACCCGCGGCGUAUUAGUUAGUUGGUGAGGUAACGGCUCACCAAGACGAUGAUACGUAGCCGACCUGAGAGGGUGAUCGGCCACAUUGGGACUGAGACACGGCCCAAACUCCUACGGGAGGCAGCAGUAGGGAAUCUUCCGCAAUGGACGAAAGUCUGACGGAGCAACGCCGCGUGAGUGAAGAAAGGUUUUCGGAUCGUAAAACUCUGUUGUCAGAGAAGAACAAGUUGGAGAGUAACUGCUCCAGCCUUGACGGUAUCUGACCAGAAAGCCACGGCUAACUACGUGCCAGCCGCUGC